RNAcentral lists this unclassified non-coding RNA (23 nucleotides) under Chlamydomonas reinhardtii. Its description in RNAcentral is "small RNA Cre_1544". Lineage: Eukaryota; Viridiplantae; Chlorophyta; Chlorophyceae; Chlamydomonadales; Chlamydomonadaceae. The record is from RNAcentral.
CUUGGAGAUGGACCCACGGUCUU